AUUGAACGCUGGCGGCAGGCCUAACACAUGCAAGUCGAACGGUAACAGGAAACAGCUUGCUGUUUCGCUGACGAGUGGCGGACGGGUGAGUAAUGUCUGGGAAACUGCCUGAUGGAGGGGGAUAACUACUGGAAACGGUAGCUAAUACCGCAUAACGUCGCAAGACCAAAGAGGGGGACCUUCGGGCCUCUUGCCAUCGGAUGUGCCCAGAUGGGAUUAGCUAGUAGGUGGGGUAACGGCUCACCUAGGCGGCGAUCCCUAGCUGGUCUGAGAGGAUGACCAGCCACACUGGAACUGAGACACGGUCCAGACUCCUACGGGAGGCAGCAGUGGGGAAUAUUGCACAAUGGGCGCAAGCCUGAUGCAGCCAUGCCGCGUGUAUGAAGAAGGCCUUCGGGUUGUAAAGUACUUUCAGCGGGGAUGAAGGGAGUAAAGUUAAUACCUUUGCUCAUUGACGUUACCCGCAGAAGAAGCACCGGCUAACUCCGUG
RNAcentral lists this ribosomal RNA (490 nucleotides) under uncultured bacterium. RNAcentral describes it as "partial 16S ribosomal RNA". It matches the Rfam family "Bacterial small subunit ribosomal RNA", at positions 30 to 507 of the family's 1533-position model. The record is from RNAcentral.